This 253-nucleotide ribosomal RNA is filed under the name uncultured bacterium. RNAcentral describes it as "partial 16S ribosomal RNA". It matches the Rfam family "Bacterial small subunit ribosomal RNA", at positions 524 to 776 of the family's 1533-position model. The record is from RNAcentral.
UACAGAGGUCUCAAGCGUUGUUCGGAUUCAUUGGGCGUAAAGGGUGUGUAGGUGGCGCGCUAAGUCGGGUGUGAAAUUUCGGAGCUUAACUCCGAAACUGCACUCGAUACUGGCGUGCUUGAGGACUGGAGAGGAGACUGGAAUUCAUGGUGUAGCAGUGAAAUGCGUAGAGAUCAUGAGGAAGACCAGUGGCGAAGGCGGGUCUCUGGACAGUUCCUGACACUGAGACACGAAGGCCAGGGGUGCAAACGGG